Molecule: ribosomal RNA, 301 nt
Filed under: uncultured bacterium
Lineage: Bacteria
Description: partial 16S ribosomal RNA
Rfam family: Bacterial small subunit ribosomal RNA
Source: RNAcentral
CAGUAGCCACGGUAAAACGUAGGGUGCAAGCGUUAAUCGGAAUUACUGGGCGUAAAGCGUGCGCAGGCGGUUUGUUAAGACAGAUGUGAAAUCCCCGGGCUCAACCUGGGAACUGCAUUUGUGACUGGCAGGCUAGAGUAUGGCAGAGGGGGGUGGAAUUCCGCGUGUAGCAGUGAAAUGCGUAGAUAUGCGGAGGAACACCGAUGGCGAAGGCAGCCCCCUGGGCCAAUACUGACGCUCAUGCACGAAAGCGUGGGGAGCAAACAGGAUUAGAUACCCCUGUAGUCCCUGUCUCUUAUAC